AAAGCGUAUCACACACCGGUACAGAAAGCGCUGUGUGUCUCGGCCUGUGGAAGGUGACCUGGUGUCGGCUGCACCUCACCUUUUCAAGAAAAAUCGCAAUGCUGACUUUUCUCCGCGUUAUCUCGCUUCCCACUGUUCUCGCAUUUCUCUUCGCGGCUCUCGCUAGGUUCUUUCAAGGUGUAGAAAGCGUGGAAAACGCCGAGAACGGACGACCGGAUUUCUGUGCCGUGUCACGGAGCGGCGUUCUGCCGGGGUAAGGGAGUCUCCUCGUUCGCGCCGGAGAAAGGGGGAGAAAUGCACUCUCGACGCUCGUCAAAGUACUCAAACGUUCAUCUCCGCGCGAUGUCACGAGUCUUCUAUUUCAAACAAAGACGAAACGGCAGCCUGUGGUUUAUUCGACCACUCGGAACUGCCCUGCCUCCCAAGAUACUUUCCUCGCGUCCAACCGCUUCCAGACACUUCGUGGAACAGGACGGAGUUGCUUUUUAACCGCCUCUUUUUCCCUCGUUUCGUCUUUGCUGAUUUCCAACCUUCUCUUUCCUCGCUCUCGCGGCCUUGUUCUCUGUCGACCCCAGACUGAAGGAGGCCUUCGUUUCUCCUCGCCAGUGUGAGUCCUUAGUUCCUCUUUUUCGCAUUUUCCAGACGGACUCUGCUUCUCUGCUCUCUCUUUUCUUCCUUGCUUUCACCGCGGCUGUCUCGACAGAAACGAACGCAUGGCUUCC
This 722-nucleotide long non-coding RNA is filed under the name Toxoplasma gondii VEG. Lineage: Eukaryota; Apicomplexa; Conoidasida; Eucoccidiorida; Sarcocystidae. The record is from RNAcentral.